UAUCUCUGUAGAGUCUGUAUAUCAAUAAGCGGAGGAAAAGAAACUAACAAGGAUUCCCUUAGUAACGGCGAGUGAAGCGGGAAGAGCUCAAAUUUGAAAUCUUCAAGGUUCUACCUUGACGAAUUGUAGUUUAAAGAAGUGUUUUCUGUUAGAUGAGUAGCAAAAGUUCCUUGGAAUGGGACAUCAUAGAGGGUGAGAAUCCCGUAUUUGGUUAUUCAUUCUAGCUUUGUGAUACACUUUCAAAGAGUCGGAUUGUUUGGGAAUGCAGUCCAAAAUGGGUGGUAAAUUUCAUCUAAAGCUAAAUAUUGGCGAGAGACCGAUAGCGGAACAAGUACCGUGAGGGAAAGAUGAAAAGAACUUUGAAAAGAGAGUUAAACAGUACGUGAAAUUGUCAAAAGGGAAGCGUUUGACACCAGUGUUGUUUUUCCGAAAAUCAAUUACGAAUGGCUUGAUUUUGUGUUGUAUUGACCUUAUCAGCUUUCUUCACUUUUUUCGAGUCUUUCUUAAUGCACUUUUCGGUUAACAAGUCAACAUCAAUUUCUUUUGUUGUAAAAGAGUAUUCGGAAGGUGGCUUUCUUUUCGGAGAAAGUGUUUAUAGCCCUAUACUUCUACAAUCGGAGAGAUUGAGGUCUGCAGCGUAGAUCCUUCGGGGUUAGAUACACUUGUGCUAAGUUGUAGCUUUUCAUAGACAACUUGUUGACUAUGUUUAGUCAUGCGGCUUACUCGCUUGUGCUAUUUUACCUACGCUUAGGAUGUUGACUGAUAUGUAGUCGUA
This 775-nucleotide ribosomal RNA is filed under the name uncultured Neocallimastigales. RNAcentral describes it as "partial large subunit ribosomal RNA". It matches the Rfam family "Eukaryotic large subunit ribosomal RNA", at positions 24 to 644 of the family's 3401-position model. The record is from RNAcentral. Lineage: Eukaryota; Fungi; Neocallimastigomycota; Neocallimastigomycetes; Neocallimastigales.